GACACACCAGCACACACUCUCUCUGCACAGAGUCUGUUCAUGUAAACCUUCUCCCCUUCCCCCCACAUCUCUCUCCCUUUCUGUCCCCCUCGUCCUCCCCUCCCUCUCACUCUCACUUACAGCCUGCGAGCACUAUUUCAAGCCUCCAUCAGAAGGAGUGAGGGAGAGCGAGUCACAGAGGUCGGGGGGAGGGGCCUGCAGACAGGAUUUGGAGUUCAAGUGCAUGUGGAGAAAAUGACCUGGAAGACAGCGAGACAGAGAGCGGAAUGGGAACGCGCAGGCUGGAAUAUCCUCUUUUUUCCAGGCACUGAUUUUUGCCCUGGAAUAAAGAAGGUGAGAAAAAAGAAAAAAAAAAGAAGCACUCUCUCAACUCUCAAAAGAGCAAAUGAAAGAAAAUCGAACGCCGGGAGACGAGAGCGGAGGACAAGAAAAUGUAUUCCGGCCCCCUCCCCUGAACUCUUGGCUACGACUCACUCCUCCUUCUUCCCUCCCUCCCGUGAACCCCUUAGCCUCUCUUUUCUCUCUGUCGUUCCCUCUCUGUCAUUCUCUCCCCUCCCACCUCCUCAUGCGGUCGCUUGCGUACAUAUGCGCCCUUACGAUCUCGCUCUCUUUUCCUCUCUCUCCGCCGGCUGCAGUGCUUCUCUUCUCAUCCUCGCAGUCUGGCAGCUCCAUCCGUGUUCCUCCCUCCUGGACGGAGAAACACGUGCAGCCUUUUUAAUGGUCCCCACACCCCUCAACGUGCCUCCCUAAAAAAACCAGGCCCCUUCAACAGCUCCUUUUCCUACUUGUCUCGGUGCCUGAUCACCGUCCGCUCUCCUUUGCACUUCACUUACAUUCAUAAUUUUUUCUCUUUUUCUUUUUGCGUUGAAUCAUUUUCCAGCUCUAUCCCACAAAUUCUCACAUUCAUAAUGUGAAAGCAGUUCAGAGUGCUGAAUGAAGAGUAGGAAAUGGGAUGGGUAGGAGGAAAAACGUGGUUUGGGAGGAAACGCUAAGAGGAGAGAAGUGACUGGGAUAGCGGAGAGGAGGAAGGACCCGGAGCAACGAGAGAAAGAGCCAAACGUGGGAUCAACGAAACCGCGGGAAAAGAAGGAAUGACCAGGCUGAUAUCGAGGAUGAGCAUUCAGGCAUCGGCGGAGGACAGAAUCAAAGCAUGUGUGAGAUAUCACAGUUCUUAUUCAGCUGGAAGAAAUGG
Molecule: long non-coding RNA, 1192 nt
Organism: Cyprinus carpio (common carp)
Lineage: Eukaryota; Metazoa; Chordata; Actinopteri; Cypriniformes; Cyprinidae
Exons: 3
Source: RefSeq, a predicted model, not a curated record